RNAcentral lists this ribosomal RNA (492 nucleotides) under uncultured bacterium. RNAcentral's name for it is "partial 16S ribosomal RNA". It matches the Rfam family "Bacterial small subunit ribosomal RNA", at positions 29 to 507 of the family's 1533-position model. The record is from RNAcentral.
AGUGAACGCUGGCGGUAGGCCUAACACAUGCAAGUCGAACGGCAGCACAGUAAGAGCUUGCUCUUACGGGUGGCGAGUGGCGGACGGGUGAUGAAUUCAUCGGAAUCUCCUUUUUCGUGGGGGAUAACGUAGGUAAACUUACGCUAAUACCGCAUACGACCUACGGGUGAAAGCAGGGGAUCUUCGGACCUUGCGCGAUUGCAUGAUCCGAUGUCGGAUUAGCUAGUUGGCGGGGUAAAGGCCCACCAAGGCGACGAUCCGUAGCUGGUCUGAGAGGAUGAUCAGCCACACGGGAACUGAGACACGGUCCAGACGCCUAAGGGAGGCAGCAGUGGGGAAUAUGGGACAAUGGGCGCAAGCAUGAUCCAGCCAGACCGCGUGGGUGAAGAAGGCCUUCGGGUUGUAAAGCCCUUUUGUUGGGAAAGAAAAGCAGCAGGUUAAUACCACGCUGUUCUGACGGUACCCAAAGAAUAAGCACCGGCUAACUUCGUG